GAUGAACGCUAGCGGCAGGCUUAACACAUGCAAGUCGAGGGGUAUAGGGAGCUUGCUUCCUAGAGACCGGCGCACGGGUGCGUAACGCGUAUGCAAUCUACCUUUUGCAGAGGGAUAGCCCAGAGAAAUUUGGAUUAAUACCUCAUAGUAUAGCAGUUUCGCAUGAAACCACUAUUAAAGUCACAACGGCAAAAGAUGAGCAUGCGUCCCAUUAGCUUGUUGGUAAGGUAACGGCUUACCAAGGCAACGAUGGGUAGGGGGUCCUGAGAGGGAGAUCCCCCACACUGGUACUGAGACACGGACCAGACUCCGUAC
RNAcentral lists this ribosomal RNA (315 nucleotides) under uncultured bacterium. RNAcentral's name for it is "bacterial SSU rRNA". It matches the Rfam family "Bacterial small subunit ribosomal RNA", at positions 28 to 342 of the family's 1533-position model. The record is from RNAcentral.